Molecule: ribosomal RNA, 867 nt
Filed under: uncultured bacterium
Lineage: Bacteria
Description: bacterial SSU rRNA
Rfam family: Bacterial small subunit ribosomal RNA
Source: RNAcentral
CCCUUGAGUUUGAUCCUGGCUCAGGAUGAACGCUAGCUACAGGCUUAACACAUGCAAGUCGAACGGGGAACGGAUUCGUCCGUUCCCAGUGGCAAACGGGUGAGUAACACGUAUCCAACCACCCCGCGACACGGGGAUAGCCUUCUGAAAGGGAGAUUAAUACCCGGUACACUGUUUAUAGCGCAUGCUAUUUUCAGUAAAGUUCCGGCGGUCGCGGACGGGGAUGCGCUCCAUUAGAUAGUCGGCGGGGUAACGGCCCACCGAGUCUAUGAUGGAUAGGGGUUCUGAGAGGAAGGUCCCCCACAUUGGAACUGCGACACGGUCCAAACUCCUACGGGAGGCAGCAGUGAGGAAUAUUGGUCAAUGGGCGAAGGCCUGAACCAGCCAAGUAGCGUGAAGGAUGACAGCCCUAUGGGUUGUAAACUUCUUUUGGUCGGGAAUAACAGACACCACUUGUGGUGUUUUGCAUGUACCGGCCGAAUAAGGAUCGGCUAACUCCGUGCCAGCAGCCGCGGUAAUACGGAGGAUCCGAGCGUUAUCCGGAUUUAUUGGGUUUAAAGGGAGCGUAGGCGGGAAGUCAAGUCAGCUGUGAAAUGCGCACGCUCAACGUACGCCUUGCAGUUGAAACUGGUUUUCUUGAGUGCGUAAGAGGCAGGCGGAAUUCGUGGUGUAGCGGUGAAAUGCUUAGAUAUCACGAGGAACUCCAAUUGCGAAGGCAGCUUGCUAGGCCGCUACUGACGCUGAUGCUCGAAGGUGCGGGUAUCAAACAGGAUUAGAUACCCUGGUAGUCCGCACAGUAAACGAUGGACAAUGGCUAUCGGCGAUACACUGCCGGUGGCCAAGCGAAAGCGUUAAGUUCCCACCUGG